RNAcentral lists this ribosomal RNA (253 nucleotides) under uncultured prokaryote. Its description in RNAcentral is "partial 16S ribosomal RNA". It matches the Rfam family "Bacterial small subunit ribosomal RNA", at positions 524 to 776 of the family's 1533-position model. The record is from RNAcentral.
UACAGGGGGUGCAAACGUUGCUCGGAAUUAUUGGGCGUAAAGCGCGCGUAGGCGGCUACCUAAGUCGGAUGUGAAAGCCCCUGGCUUAACUGGGGAAGUGCACCCGAAACUGGGUAGCUAGAGUGCAAAAGAGGGUCGCGGAAUUCCCGGUGUAGAGGUGAAAUUCGUAGAUAUCGAGAGGAACACCUGCGGCGAAGGCGGGUAGCUGGGCCGACACUGACGCUGAGGCGCGAAAGCCAGGGGAGCGAACGGG